UAUCGGAUUACUGGGCGUAAGCGCACGCAGGCGGUUUGUUAAGUCAGAUGUGAAAUCCCCGGGCUCAACCUGGGAACUGCAUCUGAUACUGGCAAGCUUGAGUCUCGUAGAGGGGGGUAGAAUUCCAGGUGUAGCGGUGAAAUGCGUAGAGAUCUGGAGGAAUACCGGUGGCGAAGGCGGCCCCCUGGACGAAGACUGACGCUCAGGUGCGAAAGCGUGGGGAGCAAACAGGAUUAGAUACCCUGGUAGUCCACGCCGUAAACGAUGUCGACUUGGAGGUUGUGCCCUUGAGGCGUGGCUUCCGGAGCUAACGCGUUAAGUCGACCGCCUGGGGAGUACGGCCGCAAGGUUAAAACUCAAAUGAAUUGACGGGGGCCCGCACAAGCGGUGGAGCAUGUGGUUUAAUUCGAUGCAACGCGAAGAACCUUACCUGGUCUUGACAUCCACGGAAGUUUUCAGAGAUGAAAAUGUGCCUUCGGGAACCGUGAGACAGGUGCUGCAUGGCUGUCGUCAGCUCGUGUUGUGAAAUGUUGGGUUAAGUCCCGCAACGAGCGCAACCCUUAUCCUUUGUUGCCAGCGGUCCGUCCGGGAACUCAAAGGAAACUGCCAGUGAAAACUGGAAGAAGGGGGGGAUGAAGUCCAAUCAUCCUGGCCCUUACCAGCAAGGCUAACACCUGCUACCAUGGCGCAUACCAGAGAAUCGACCUCGCGAGAGCAGACGGACUC
This 726-nucleotide ribosomal RNA is filed under the name bacterium UC24025. Its description in RNAcentral is "bacterial SSU rRNA". It matches the Rfam family "Bacterial small subunit ribosomal RNA", at positions 543 to 1275 of the family's 1533-position model. The record is from RNAcentral.